RNAcentral lists this long non-coding RNA (356 nucleotides) under Nicotiana benthamiana. RNAcentral describes it as "long non-coding RNA (NBEN_LNC035888)". The record is from RNAcentral. Lineage: Eukaryota; Viridiplantae; Streptophyta; Magnoliopsida; Solanales; Solanaceae.
UCCAUCUUGCCCGUGAUUUCCUGAAUUAAUUAUUUUCAAAAUCAGUUUGUAAUCCAUCUGUUUAUGUGCACAAUAUACUUUUAUUUUUACUUUCCUUACUUAUGAUUAUUUUGUACUAUCAAUCUUGCAAACACCUUCCUUAUUUGAUACAAUUUGUACUAUUUGAGUUGUGACUCCCUAAUUGAAGGGAAUCUGAGGUUUAAAUUGAUUAUAAUAGGUACACCUUCUAGAAUUAUAAUAAGUCUAUAUGUAUUACCUUAUUUUCCACUUAUUUGAGAUUAUAAGUACCCUACCCUCGCUUUAACACACAGAACAACAAGACGAAACGAAAAAUCUUCAUUGUUUUGACUCUCUUA